GCAGGCCCUGCUGCUGGCGCGGCAUGUGACGCAACGGGCGACGCGGCCCGGCAUUUUUCUCUAAAUCGGCAGUAAAUACAGCUGAGUAAAAUUAGCUUGGUUUUCUUCCUUCUUUUGUAACUGAACUGUUUUUAUUAAAAAUCCUAUUUGAAUAUGUAGAAAAAGUGGGGAUGUCCUGUAAUAUAUCGUAGCUUUUCUUGUUUACAGGGUACUGAGAAAAUACGUCUCCCUUAGAGUCCCACGGAAAGGUUCUCAGUGCGCUCUCUAUCAAGUGCUAUGAGUCUUGAUCAAUUGGAGAAGAGCCCAAGAGAAAUUUUUCAUCCCUUGAUAUAAAAGGGAUCGGUGAAUUUUAACUUUGGAGUCCCCUAUGCUAAGGAUGCUCAGCUUACAGGUGAUGAAAUGUUCAGUAAUGUAUUUGCUGCAGCUCUGCUUACCCAAGCUUUGAGUUCCUUCUGUCCCACGGGGAGUUGCCCAGUUUGGUUGCAUCUGGUGAAAUUCACCCUGAGACCUUACAGAACCAGCUCCAACUACGUGAGAGCCAUUUGCAGUUCUCUCCAGACACCUGGAGAAUGGGCGACGUUUCUGAGGAUCCGGCGAGCAUGCUUCUAUCAAAACUCAGUCUGUGAAGUUUCUGGGGAAAACCCUUCUGUGUCCUGAAGGGUUCAAACUCUGGUGAGGAUCCAGUUAUCAGGGGCUCACCUGGAUGGUUCCAGCUCCCAAAGGGAAAGACUCUCGUAUCCUUGUCGUCGGGCUCGGUGCUGUCCAAGAAGAUACAGAGACUAAAAAAAUCAUAAGAAGCAAAAUAUGACUGCAGGGAAAAGAAGCUGGAGAGAACAGAAGAGCCCUGUUGUAUUAAUCAUCAUACAAGUACAAAACAAAAAAUCAGACCCUGUCCCAAGCACUUAGAGCCCAGAACACGAUUUCCUCAGGCUGCCAUUUGUGUGCCAUCGGUACUCACCACGGAAGGGAGCUGGGGAUUGUUGCAGCUGUUGGGAACAAACUGCUUCUCGUCACACAGCAAUGGAAUUGGGACGACGCCUCGGCCAGCCCCUCUCUGCCAUCAUCUCCUGAAUCUGCAGCAGAGCAGUUCCAGUCCAUCCGCGCACGUGUAAUCCAGUUCCUGAUGAUCUGAGCACACGGAGCAGCGCUCAGCUGCUGUGGGGGCUCAGGGAAGGCAGAGUGUGCAUUGUCAUCUUCCUGAACCUACAGACGAAUCAAAGUGAGAAGCAACAGCGUGGAAAUCAGUCGCAUAUAUGCUAAAUAAAACUUGCAGAUUUUUUUAAGAAUUGUUGUUGCUUGUUCUUUGUUGUGCUUUAGUGCUUAGAAAACCUCCCUUUAAAAUCAGUUCAGUUCAUGAGUUGAACCUUUGUUUGCAGACCCUCACUGAGCAGAAUUCAUUGCAGACUCAGUGCACGCUGUGCCGGCCUCCCGGGAGUGUGAGGAGCUCAUGUGUGCUACUUUUUGCUUUAGGACGCUCUGAGGUAUUUAUUCCUUUUGGGAUACAUGAUGAGAAUUCCCAAGAGAGGUAGUUAUAAGGUAUGACAUCGGGAAAAAGCCUGUGUGGUUGGAAUGUUGUUGCUGUCAAAAGUUAAUUUUUUCUUAGCCAGUAGUUAGCUUUUUGCUUUAUUUUUGUGGUAUCAGUAUUUUGUUGUUUAAAAAAUUGCUUCAAAAUAACUUCAGUGGCUGGCCAUCAGUACCUUGUUCAGAUUUGCCUAUUUGCUUGUAGCUGAAAUGUUCACAUCUUGUUUAUCAUUCUAUUUAAGAAACUGCUGCCCAGCCAACUAAUAACUGAAUAUCCAUCUGUCUGGGACACGGGGAGAGGAUUUAGGUAAUGUCUUUGUUUCCAGAAAGAAGUUCCAGUGUAGUUUCUAAAUAGAGGAGAAGGGGGUGAAGACUCGGGGCUCUGAUGCCGUUGGGGCGCCCCAAGGUCCCCAGGAGAAGGAGCCCCACUGGGGUGCAG
Molecule: long non-coding RNA, 1960 nt
Organism: Melospiza georgiana
Lineage: Eukaryota; Metazoa; Chordata; Aves; Passeriformes; Passerellidae
Exons: 6
Source: RefSeq, a predicted model, not a curated record